GGGGAAUAUUGCACAAUGGGCGAAAGCCUGAUGCAGCAACGCCGCGUGAGUGAUGACGGUCUUCGGAUUGUAAAGCACUUUCGACGGGGACGAUGAUGACGGUACCCGUAGAAGAAGCCCCGGCUAACUUCGUGCCAGCAGCCGCGGUAAUACGAAGGGGGCUAGCGUUGCUCGGAAUGACUGGGCGUAAAGGGCGUGUAGGCGGUUUUGACAGUCAGAUGUGAAAUCCCCGGGCUUAACCUGGGAGCUGCAUUUGAGACGUCAAGACUAGAGUGUGAGAGAGGGUUGUGGAAUUCCCAGUGUAGAGGUGAAAUUCGUAGAUAUUGGGAAGAACACCGGUGGCGAAGGCGGCAACCUGGCUCAUUACUGACGCUGAGGCGCGAAAGCGUGGGGAGCAAAC
This 400-nucleotide ribosomal RNA is filed under the name uncultured bacterium. RNAcentral describes it as "bacterial SSU rRNA". It matches the Rfam family "Bacterial small subunit ribosomal RNA", at positions 356 to 773 of the family's 1533-position model. The record is from RNAcentral.